Non-coding RNA from Coturnix japonica (Japanese quail), 174 nucleotides. NCBI's taxonomy places the organism in Eukaryota, Metazoa, Chordata, Aves, Galliformes, Phasianidae. The record is from RefSeq and is a predicted model, not a curated record.
CUCGAGUGACCACACAGGUGGGCUCGACCGACACGUGCUGCCGAAGCCUGGAGGGCUGCAACGGUACCGACGCAGUAUCUUGGAAUUGUUGUAAUACAAGAAGAAUUCUACAGAGCGUCAGUCAUGGAUCCAGAUGAGAAGUUCACAGAACAGCAGCUAUGAAGCAGGAUAAAA